CCUGCUGGACGGAAGGGGCGUCAGUGCUGCUCUGCCCUCUGCCCGGGCGCCCUGCUCCAAGGAGGGAGCCUCAGCUUCUCCGGGUCCCUCUCCGCGUCACUGCGGCCUCCCCGUUUGUAAGGUGGAAGGUCCUCACUCCGGACAUCCCUUCCUGAUUUGUUGGGGGGGCGGCCCACAGAGACAGCACACGGGCAGAGGGCCAGGGGCUCCAGAAUCCCACAGCCUCGGGCCGGGCCCGAGUCCUCGUCACCGCUGGCUCCGCAGCAGCACGUGCUGGCUCCUGUUCUACAUGAAGUAACGAAGGCCUGACCAUGGGAGUCACCCGGCAGGUAGCAGGAAGGAAGAUUUGAUGCUGCACACUGAUCUCCUGUUCCCAGCAGGAGCAAUGAAGCGAUGGUGCCUGCCACCUCUCGAAGGGCACUGCUGUCAUGGUAACGAGGAUGAGAUGCGCCCACCGCUGGCUACCGGCACAGGAGUGAGGGGCAGACGAGGCCCGCCAGCAGCUGCAGAGGCCAGCGGGGAGCCGGGCUUUAGGGUAACAAGGAGCAUAAAGGGGACUGAUGUGGGAGAAGCUGGACAACCAGCAACCACAGCAAAGCCAGAGUCCACAUACAAGUUCGGUCACGUGAUCCUUGCCUUUCUCUGACUUACUUCACUCAGCAUAAUGCCCUCCGGGUCCCUCCAGGCUGUCUCGGGGGUGAGAGAUCCUUCUGUCUCACUCUGCACAGUGUUCCACGGUGUGACUGUGCCCCAGCUUUCUCAUCCACUCGGCCACUGAUGGGCACUUGGGCUGCAUCCCCAAGUUUCUUAAGAAUGCAACCAGUGCACUCAGAAUACACGUUUUUUAUGGCUUUAAAUAGUGACUUCCUUGGGCGGUAGUCACGUGCUGAUAUUUGACAAAGAACGGACUAAGAAACCUCUGAACAGGACAGUGAAAACGGGACUCACCUUCCCCCAGGGACGACGGGAACACGGGAGCAUCUCCGCCCGGGGGCGUCUGAGGAGAGUUGUGGGCACUGGCCCCCUUGGAGCUGCCUCCAGACAGGACCUGGCUCUCGGCCGCGGCUGCUGUGAAGUAGAUGUCCGACUGGGAGGAAAGAGAUCAGGCACGUGAGGGCUGCCGGGCGCUGGGGACCCUCGUCCUCGCUCAGCUCCUCAGCGCACCCCAGGGCGGCGCUGUGCCCGGUGCUGGGGAGAGGCCGCACAGCCCCCUUCACUGCACCAAACCACCGCUCGCGGGGGGGUAAGAGGGGCGCCCCCCUCACUGCACCAAACAACCGCUCGCGGGGGGUAAGAGGGGCGCCUGCAGCCCAGGGCCGCACAUGAAAACCCCACCGGGAGCAUUUCCAGCCUCCUCAUCGCCCCCUGGCGUCCUGACACCUGACGGGCUGGGAGGGGAGUCUCCUGGCCUUGGGGCCCACAGCCCCUCGGAUGGAAACAUGGGGUCUGCUCACCCUGGAGGCCACGAGCUGCAGCUGAGGCACGACCGCGGUGUGGACCAGGUUCCCGUUCACCACCAGGCGGAUCUCCAUGGAGUCGGGGGUGAAGGCCAGGAGAUGAGAAAAUUGAGGCGAGGAGAGGUGAAGUAGCUGGUCCGAAGUCUCAGCAGUACCAUGUGGGGAGAACACGGGGCCGCCUGACUGCAGAGAAGGGACACUUGCUGGAAGCCCUCGGAUCAGGAAGCCCCCCUGAGGGGCAGGUCCGACACGGAGCCCCACUCGGCAGGACUAGUGGUGAGAGCUCCACAUGUCCCUCCUCCCAACAUUUUAUUAGGAAACCUGAAGCCACAUGCCUGCAUCGCCUGGUGACCCUGAGCCAGCAUUAGACUAAGGCCAGGUUACUUCAGCUACCCUGUUCCUGCCUGCUCCCAGCUCUAAACACCAGUCCAGUGGUUUGGACCCUCUCGUAGGGAGGGCGUUCACGUAGAAGCGGAGGCCCCUUGUACUCCAGGAGCCACCAUGGGUUAGCCAUACAAUUUUAUUCUUAAACCCUUGACCUCUCUUCCUCCUCUCGCUAUCACCCUCUUCCCCUGUCUCUUUUUCCUUCAAAGCAAAAGUCUUUGCGAGACUUGUCUCUAUUCCUCUUCCCCAUUCUCUAGUGUCCUGUGUGGUCAGCUUUUGCUCCCACUUCUGCCCCAGAGACACCUGCUCGGAACAAGGUUCCCAGCGACUCCACCUGGUAAAGCCAGAGCGGCUCUCAGACCCGCCCACUCCUGGUCUUCCUCCUGCCGCCCUCCGUCUUCCGUGCUGGCUCCGCCUGUCUCUCUCCCACUUCUCUUUACACAGUCUCUUCAGUCUCGUGACUCCAGAUGUCAGUUACAUGCUAACGACACCCAGUGGUAUCUCCCGCCAGCCCUCCCGCUGGGCGCCCAGCUCCGGACGUGACCCAGCUGAUGGCUCAGGGCUCCACUGGGAUCACUGGGAGGCGCCGACGCGUCCAAACUGAACUCGGAUGUUUCCCCCAAGCGCCCUCCUCUUCAGGGUCCCUCUUCCCGGUAAAUGUAUCCUCCAUUCUUCCGGCGGCCCGGGCCCCACCUGCAGAACCUGCCUCUUCCUCUCAUACUGUCUGUCUGACCCAUCAGCCAAAUGCCUGGGUUCUCAGAUUUAAAAUACACCCAGGAACGGCCAUCUUUCGCCAGGUGAGUGCGGCCACGAGGAGUCCCUGUGGUCAAAAUUCUGGGCGAGGGAGUCACCGGGGCCGAAUGCGAGCCCUGGCUCCGCGGCUUCGCAUGAUCUGAGGAAGGCAAUUCCCCGCCCCCCGCCUCAGCUGCCUUUUCUCCAAACUACAGGUAAUACGAGCACCUGAGAAUCACAGAGAUGCUGACUCCAGCGUCCUGAGUGCCGCACGUGGCAGGCAGCAAGGGCUCCCUAACGGAAGCUGUCACUCUAACUGUCACCCCCACACCCUGGAGACGGGGCCACGAUCCGGGCGUAUUGGUAGAUCUAGUUAGGAAUGCAAUUUUUAGAUGUUUCCUGGAGCGCAGUUAAGGGCACGGGAAUGAACCAUUAGGCAAGUCUAGGGUUAGGUCCCUUCAAAUUGCCCCCCAAAAGGGACGGUGGACUUCAGCAGAUAAAGACACAAACACAUUGCUCACUUACAGUUGUAACACAAGAGCAGCCCGGCUUCCCCGUCUUCGUAAACAUCAAUAGCUGCAACGAAAUGAACCUGCAAUGAUAAUGAGCGGGGUCGUGGGCAGGCGGGAAGUUUCAGGGGCUCCCAGCACCCCGCCCAACAGCAGCCUCCCGCGUCCCUCAGGUGCCUUUGUGCACCACGCUGCCCCUGGGCUGCCUGCCCUGCCCUCCCAGUGGGGGCUCGUGCGGCCUCCUGCAUUCGGCUCAUCUCGCUCCAGGGCAGCAGUUGGCAUCAGGCAGGUCUAUGGGGACUCUGCCAGGACUGAGCUGACAGUGUGGCUGUGUUCAGAGUCAGGCUGUGGGGCAGGCCAUGGCGGAGCGCCAGCCACGGCCGGGAUCAGGGACAGAGCCACAGCGGAGCGCCAGCCACGGCCGGGAUCAGGGACAGAGCCACAGCGGAGUGCCAGCCACGGCUGGGAUCAGGGACAGAGCCACAGCGGGGGCCUCCCCACUCCCUCCUGAGUCCUCCGCAGCCUGUCAGGCCGUUACUGACACUCAGCACGGCAGACCCGCUUCAUGCUUCAACCCAAUCCCUGCCUCGGUCUCUCCGGGGUGAGGGCCCGGCAGGACCAGCUCCACGACCGUUUCUCCAGGUGAGGACAUGAGAGCCAGCUAGAGAGCUUUCGGAAAAGGCAAUUCCGGGUCCUCACUCCUAGAUCCUGACGUUAUAGUGUAAUGUGGGGCAUUGGCUUUUCAAUGUUUUUUUGCUUAAAAAGCAGUUCAUUUUAUUGGCAUUUAGAAAUGAUGAAAAUAACAUAUGGUGUUUGUGAAAAUGAAAAAGCACAGCUUUGUAACACGUGAGGCCUGUGCCCUGCCUUCCCAGCGCCCGCGGAAGAGGAAGCCCAGCUGGGCCCGUGGCCAGCCCUCCCGUGUGGCUCGGGGUGAGCUCCCAACUGGGAACCCCUGGGACUGGGGCCCACAAAUAAGCCAGAGACCUGAUCUUGUGACCACCUAAUACUGAUACGAUACAGAACCUGCUAACCGUGGCUUCACAGAGCUGGAAGCCACACCGCUGGUCGCCUUCCAUCCCCCCUGCCUGUGGCUGCGACUCACCCUGCUGGCCUCCACAUGGUGCAGCCGGAAGGCCUCCCCCGUGCUCUCGUUCACCACGUCAAACUGGUGUCGAUAAGCCACGCAGAUGAGAUUGUCACUCUCUUCUGUUGGCCCGUCUACUAAAGUCAUCACCACGGGAGAGUCGGUCAGACAGAUCUCCUGUGUGGUUGACAGGGUAGGAGAAACGGUCAGGACACAGACAGCCAUCUUCAUAUCAAGCCCCACUGCCCGCCCCAUCCAGAAGGGGGCCCCCUCCCAGGUCCUGCAGACCCUGCUCCUGACAGAGAGUUCUCCCCGACACCCUGUCCUCAGGACCAGACCUCCUCCACGCAUUGGGGCGGGGCCAGGGAACACUUUUACAAAAGUGAUUCAACAAUGUGGUUUGAGUUAGCCCUUAGAUUAUCUGGUCCUGUCCUGUGAGAGAUUUAAUAAUAAUAAUAAUAAAAAUAAUUGCUAACUUUGUUGAGCACUUAACACAGUGCCAAGCAACCACUAUUCUCACUGAAGACUCAUGACAACCUUAUGAAGUAGGUAAGGUUAUUAUCCUACUUUGCAGAUGAGAAAACAGAGGCUCAAAGGUCAUGUGACUUGCCUACGGUCACAUGGUUUAUAUGUGGUACAGCCAAGAUCUGAACUCAGGAAAACUGACUUCAGAACUCGUAUGCCCCAUAAAUGGGCAUACAUAUUCAUUAAAAUUGCUAAUAACUGUAUCAAGAAGACUAAUAGCUAAUUAAAGCAGAAACUGAGAUGCAUAACUCCAGGCAAAAUCAUCUCUCAGCUUGCCUACAGGCAUACUCUGCCUUGGCUGCCAAUGCUUGACACAGUCCAUACCUUAAUGUACCACAGUUUUUAAAAAGUUAGAAAUGGUAAGCUCAGGGAAGGAACCUGUCCCUCAAGGAGGCUUCUCCUACAAGUUCCACCCUCAAUCGAUUAGCAAACCUAGUGGCUAGUGGCCUGGCUGCUCUGCCACGGCUUCCUCCACCUCUGCAGCCGCCCACGCCACCACCGUCUCUCGCUGGGCCUGCAGUGGCCUCUCAGCAGGACACCUCAUCCCCAUUCUUGGCCCAUGCUCGCCUCUGCGCAGCGGCCAGAGGAGGCUCCAUAAAACAUGCAGCUCUGCCCAGCCGGUGUGGCUCAGUGGUUGAGCUUCAAACUAUGAAGCAGGAGGUCACAGUUCGAUUCCCAGUCAAGGGCACAUGCCCAGGUUGUGGGCUCGAUCCCCAGUGUGGGGUGUGCAGGAGGCAGCCGAGUAAUGAUUCUCUCUCAUCAUCGAUGUUUCUCUCUCUCUCCCCCUCCCUUCCUCUCUGGAGUCAAUAAAAAUAUAUUUUAAAAAACCAGGCCAGUUCUCUGCUUCAAACCUUCCAGAGGCUUCCCCUUCACUCAGUCACAACCACAGUCCUGGGCAGCAGCCUGGUCCCGUGCCCCGGCCUCCCUGCCUCUUUACUCAGCCCGGGCACCCGCCUCUUGCCUGAGCCUUGGCCAGGGUCCGAAAUGCCCUCUCCCCGAUACCCUCAUCACCCACUCCCAUAUUUCAUUUGGAUCUCUGCUCAGGGUAACCUUUCCAGAGAGGGUUUCUGGGACGUCCUUCCUAGGAUAGAGCCCCCCGCCCCCCGCCCCAUUGCCCUCUGCUGUUACCCCUACUUUGCUGUUAUCCUCAGGACCACAGACCUGCCUGCUGAUUCCUGUUACCCUGCAGCUAGCAAGCAAUCUCUCGGAGAAGAGUGGCGUUUUGUUCACUGCUGUGUCCCCAGUGCCCAGAACACCCCUUCGGUGGUCACGGGCCUGGGAUCUGGGUGGAGAAGGGAAAGACCCCUUUGGCCUUAGUCCUCUGGGGGGACAGGGCUUCAGGUGAGGGUUCCCCGAAUGGGCUACUGUCUGUGGAGCAACCCCAGUGGAUGACAGACUCAGCGUGGAAGGAGAGUCGGCCUGGCCCGGAGAGAGGGGGUUUGAACAGAAGACCUACCCUGAUGUACUGGAAUUCUUCGACGGGGGACUCCGACAGGGGGGAUAACAGCGAGGGGCCGGGCAACCCUCUUAGCUUGUUGUGUUUCCUUGUGAUCAGAAGCAGUUUAUUCCGGAUGGCGACCACCACCCUCAGCUCUCUGCUGUGGUGAGUGUUAAUGGCAUACAAGUGGCAGCCUGGAAAGAGAAAUCCAUGAUGCUGAUCAGGACCAGAGGUUGCCAGCCCCCAGGCCUUGGCAAUCGGGACCUUCCUAGGAUCCCCCGAAAUUAGAAAUAACCCAGUGAAAUGGCUAAGAAUGCUGCUGCCACCUGGCAAAAUGGAGACUUGGAAUAAAAACUGGGUUGAGCUACAGGAAAAUUAAGGACGUUAGUUCCCUUUAUUGUAGAGUUUGUGGUCUCAGCUUCCUAUCACAACAUGAUAUGAAUUAAAGUGAGGGUGAUUGAGCUCCAGAAACCCACGUCUAAACCAGCCGUGGGCAAACUACGGCCCGCGGGCCGGAUUUCCGGCCCGUUUGAAAUGAAUAAAA
Long non-coding RNA from Myotis myotis, 6673 nucleotides. RefSeq lists it as uncharacterized. The transcript is spliced from 4 exons. The record is from RefSeq and is a predicted model, not a curated record. Lineage: Eukaryota; Metazoa; Chordata; Mammalia; Chiroptera; Vespertilionidae.